AUACGGAGGAUCCGAGCGUUAUCCGGAUUUAUUGGGUUUAAAGGGUGCGCAGGCGGCCAUUUAAGUCAGCGGUUAAAUCGUGGGGCUCAACCCCAUUCUGCCGUUGAUACUGGGUGGCUUGAUUGCGGUCGAGGUUGGCGGAAUUCGUUGUGUAGCGGUGAAAUGCAUAGAUAUGACGAAGAACACCGAUUGCGUAGGCAGCUGACCAGACCGCAAAUGACGCUCAUGCACGAAAGUGCGGGGAUCGAACAGGAUUAGAUACCCUGGUAGUCCGCACAGUAAACGAUGAAUACCUGUUUUCGGCGAUAUAAUGUCGGAGGCAAAGCGAAAGCGAUAAGUAUUCCACCUGGGGAGUACGCCGGCAACGGUGAAACUCAAAUGAAUUGACGGGG
Molecule: ribosomal RNA, 392 nt
Filed under: uncultured bacterium
Lineage: Bacteria
Description: partial 16S ribosomal RNA
Rfam family: Bacterial small subunit ribosomal RNA
Source: RNAcentral